RNAcentral lists this ribosomal RNA (253 nucleotides) under uncultured bacterium. RNAcentral's name for it is "partial 16S ribosomal RNA". It matches the Rfam family "Bacterial small subunit ribosomal RNA", at positions 524 to 776 of the family's 1533-position model. The record is from RNAcentral.
UACGGAGGGUGCAAGCGUUAUCCGGAAUCACUGGGGUUAAAGGGUGCGUAGGCGGCUUGAUAAGUCAGGGGUGAAAGCCCGCAGCUUAACUGCGGAACUGCCUUUGAUACUGUCGAGCUUGAAAGAGGUUGAGGUCAGCGGAACGUGACAUGUAGCGGUGAAAUGCAUAGAUAUGUCACAGAACACCGAUUGCGAAGGCAGCUGGCUGGACCUACUUUGUCGCUGAGGCACGAAAGCGUGGGGAGCGAAUAGG